CGCGCAGUAGGGGAGCCCGGUCGUCCCCGGGAGUUUCAUACGCUCGAGAUCGGCAGUUCGAAUCUGUCCUGCGCAACCA
Molecule: transfer RNA, 79 nt
Filed under: Variovorax paradoxus
Lineage: Bacteria; Pseudomonadati; Pseudomonadota; Betaproteobacteria; Burkholderiales; Comamonadaceae
Description: tRNA-Met
Rfam family: tRNA
About the family: Transfer RNA (tRNA) molecules are approximately 80 nucleotides in length. Their secondary structure includes four short double-helical elements and three loops (D, anti-codon, and T loops).
Source: RNAcentral